UACGUAUGGUGCGAGCGUUAAUCGGAAUUACUGGGCGUAAAGCGUGCGUAGACGGCUAUCUAAGUCGGGUGUGAAAGCCCCGGGCUCAACCUGGGAAUUGCAUUCGAGACUGAAUAGCUAGGGUACGGUAGAGGGAAGCGGAAUUUCCGGUGUAGCGGUGAAAUGCGUAGAUAUCGAGAGGAACACCUGCGGCGAAGGCGGGUUGCUGGGCCGACACUGACGCUGAUGCGCGAAAGCCAGGGGAGCGAACGGG
Molecule: ribosomal RNA, 253 nt
Filed under: uncultured bacterium
Lineage: Bacteria
Description: partial 16S ribosomal RNA
Rfam family: Bacterial small subunit ribosomal RNA
Source: RNAcentral